Molecule: ribosomal RNA, 392 nt
Filed under: Thalassiosira sp.
Lineage: Eukaryota; Bacillariophyta; Thalassiosirophyceae; Thalassiosirales; Thalassiosiraceae
Description: partial small subunit ribosomal RNA
Rfam family: Eukaryotic small subunit ribosomal RNA
Source: RNAcentral
AUUCCAGCUCCAAUAGCGUAUAUUAAAGUUGUUGCAGUUAAAAAGCUCGUAGUUGGAUUUCUGGCAGGAGCGACCGGUCACACACUCUGUGUGUGAACUUGCGUUGUCUCUGGCCAUCCUCGGGGAGAUCCUGUUUGGCAUUAAGUUGUCGGGCAGGGGAUACCCGUCGUUUACUGUGAAAAAAUUAGAGUGUUUAAAGCAGGCUUAUGCCGUUGAAUAUAUUAGCAUGGAAUAAUAAGAUAGGACUUCGGAACUAUUUUGUUGGUUUGCGUUACGAAGUAAUGAUUAAUAGGGACAGUUGGGGGUAUUCGUAUUUCGUUGUCAGAGGUGAAAUUCUUGGAUUUCCGAAAGACGAACUACUGCGAAAGCAUUUACCAAGGAUGUUUUCAUUA